RNAcentral lists this ribosomal RNA (253 nucleotides) under uncultured bacterium. RNAcentral describes it as "partial 16S ribosomal RNA". It matches the Rfam family "Bacterial small subunit ribosomal RNA", at positions 524 to 776 of the family's 1533-position model. The record is from RNAcentral.
GACGAGGGAUCCUAGCGUUGUUCGGAAUCAUUGGGCGUAAAGCGGAUGUAGGUGGCCUUGUAAGUCAGGUGUGAAAGCCCAGAGCUCAACUCUGGAAGUGCAUUUGAUACUGCGAGGCUUGAGUGUGGAAGAGGUAAGUAGAAUACCUGGUGUAGUGGUGAAAUACGUAGAUAUCAGGUGGAAUACCGGAGGCGAAGGCGGCUUACUGGUCCAACACUGACACUGAGAUCCGAAAGCGUGGGGAUCAAACAGG